RNAcentral lists this ribosomal RNA (388 nucleotides) under uncultured bacterium. RNAcentral's name for it is "bacterial SSU rRNA". It matches the Rfam family "Bacterial small subunit ribosomal RNA", at positions 30 to 419 of the family's 1533-position model. The record is from RNAcentral.
AUUGAACGCUGGCGGCAUGCCUUACACAUGCAAGUCGAACGGCAGCGGACCUUCGGGUGCCGGCGAGUGGCGAACGGGUGAGUAAUAUAUCGGAACGUACCUUUCAGUGGGGGAUAACGUAGCGAAAGUUACGCUAAUACCGCAUAUUCUGUGAGCAGGAAAGCAGGGGAUCGCAAGACCUUGCGCUGAUUGAGCGGCCGAUAUCAGAUUAGCUAGUUGGUGAGGUAAAGGCUCACCAAGGCGACGAUCUGUAGCGGGUCUGAGAGGAUGAUCCGCCACACUGGAACUGAGACACGGUCCAGACUCCUACGGGAGGCAGCAGUGGGGAAUUUUUGGACAAUGGGCGCAAGCCUGAUCCAGCCAUGCCGCGUGAGUGAAGAAGGCCUGG